GACGAACGCUGGCGGCGUGCUUAACACAUGCAAGUCGAACGGAAAGGCCCUGCUUUUGUGGGGUGCUCGAGUGGCGAACGGGUGAGUAACACGUGAGUAACCUGCCCUUGACUUUGGGAUAACUUCAGGAAACUGGGGCUAAUACCGGAUAGGAGCUCCUGCUGCAUGGUGGGGGUUGGAAAGUUUCGGCGGUUGGGGAUGGACUCGCGGCUUAUCAGCUUGUUGGUGGGGUAGUGGCUUACCAAGGCUUUGACGGGUAGCCGGCCUGAGAGGGUGACCGGCCGCAUGGGGACUGAGGUACGGACCAGGCGCCUACGGGAGGCAGCAGGGGGGAAUAUUGCACAAUGGGCGGAAGUCUGAUACAGCAACGCCGCGUGCGGGAUGACGGCCUUCGGGUUGUAAACCGCUUUCGCCUGUGACGAAGCGUGAGUGACGGUAAUGGGUAAAAAAGCAACGGCUAACUACGUG
This 468-nucleotide ribosomal RNA is filed under the name uncultured bacterium. RNAcentral's name for it is "partial 16S ribosomal RNA". It matches the Rfam family "Bacterial small subunit ribosomal RNA", at positions 28 to 507 of the family's 1533-position model. The record is from RNAcentral.